UACAGAGGGUGCAAGCGUUAAUCGGAAUUACUGGGCGUAAAGGGUGCGUAGGUGGUUAAAUAAGUUGGGUGUGAAAGUCCCGGGCUUAACCUGGGGAUUGUGCCUAAUACUGUUUAGCUAGAGUACUGUAGAGGAAGGUGGAAUUUCCAGUGUAGCAGUGAAAUGCGUAGAUAUUGGAAGGAACAUCGGUGGCGAAGGCGACCUUCUGGACAGCUACUGACACUGAGGCACGAAAGCGUGGGGAGCAAACAGG
This 253-nucleotide ribosomal RNA is filed under the name uncultured bacterium. Its description in RNAcentral is "partial 16S ribosomal RNA". It matches the Rfam family "Bacterial small subunit ribosomal RNA", at positions 524 to 776 of the family's 1533-position model. The record is from RNAcentral.